UGUUAAUAUACUAACACCAUAGUAGUUGUUUGUGGGGAGGAAAGUGGUGCAUAUAAAUUCAAAGAAAAUAUUUUUAUUCUAUUCUUAAAUAACCACAAGUACUUGCUAAUGGGAUGUGUGCCACCACUAUUGCACACUUCAACUUCUUAAACAUAUUGGAGACCACCACCCACCUCUUGUGUUCCACGUUGACUUUCUUUCUUUUUUUAAAAAAGAUUUAUUUAUUUGACAGAGAUAGAGAGUACAAGUAGGCAGAGGGGAAAGUCGAGGCAGGUGGAGAAGCAGGCUUCCCGCUGAGCAGGGACCACCCCCACCAACUACGUGGGGCUCAAUCCCAGGACCCCAGGAUCAUGACCUGAGCUGAGGGCAGACACCAAAGUGACUGAGCCAUCCAGGCACUCCUCCCCACAUUGAUUUUCAUGUGGUGCUUGCCUUUUAUCACACUGAAAGUCCCGCUUCGUGACGAUACAAGAACAUAAGCCAUCAAGUUGCAAUGUUGCAACUAUGAACUACCUCUGCAUCUUUGUGUUUCCCUCAGAAACUUGAACAAUUCCAUGGUGGUCCUGCAUGACUUCACUGCAGAGCCUUAGAGUGCCUCAACAUGCAGUUCAAGCAGCACUGUUUCACUUCCAACUUCAAAACAGAUCUACCAUCCUACCUCCCCCUUAUCGUGAGUUCAAGAAGAAUCCGCCCUGUAAGAACCCAGAUGGAGGCUCAUGUGGUCCUCAGAGGCAAAGAAGAACUGCCCUCCAAAGAUCAGAGGCUGCUGUUGGGACACAGAUGGUAACUUUACUUUCCUCCCUCUAGUAUCUUCCAUUUGGAACUAACCCUCAAGCUAACCACUGUUCUCACUACUCUUCUCAGCCAUCUUUCACCCCCAGGGAAAGCCCCGCCUCCUGAGUCCCCUCUUCUCCUGACCUUCAUCCAGCAGUUCAAGGCAGGAACUCUGAAAUGCCUAGGAGAAUGAUGGUUCUUCUUCUCAUUGGUGGUCUUUGCAAUUCUGUUGCAACAAGGAAACAUUUGUGCAAAAAAUGUAACUGCAGUUUUAGAAUCACUAAAACAAGCAAACAGCAAACAAGUUAGGUCACGCAAAGGCCUAUCUGAAAUUUCCGAAGGAAUUUUCGGGUUACAAGUUUUUCUUGAGAACAAUAGCUCCCAGAAAACAUCUUCCUGGGCUCCAGGCUCCCACUGACCAUUCAUAAAAAUCAGCUGCAGGUAAGAAAGGGCCCAUAAAAUAGCAUAUCUUCCCGUCCUACUGUCCACGUCACAGCUAUAGAAGAAACGGGAAAAAUAGAAAAUCUCUUCCUUUUUUCUCAGCAGUAAUAUAUUUUCUGAACAGGAGGAUCUGGAUUCAAUUUUUUGUCUGUGCAAACAUAAAACUAUUUCCUGGCUGAGUAUGAAUCCUUUCCUGCUUUUGCACACUCGUCUGGAAGACAUCCCACACCCUUCUUCUAUAGAAGCCCAGAGCUGAAAGGGCAUGUACAGGAUGGCAGGGUCAGGCUGAUGAUGGUGAUAUUCAACUAACUCUGGACACGUCGGGAUGCCAGGCGCCCCCACCUCUGGGAUCUUUAUGUAGGAUCUGGAGUUGGGGAACCAUGCUGUGCUACACAGCCCAGAUCCCCCUUCAGGAAUGCAGGACUUAUCUCCCCAGCUUCUGGGAAUGCUGCCAUGACCCUCGGCUGCCAGUCCUCUUUGGAGAAUGCUUUGGCUGAAGAAAACCUCCAGGACAGCCUGUACUGAAACAAGACAUUUUGUUCCUGUGGGAGAACAUGACUCUGCCUGCUACGAUGGGUAUUGUGCCAUCAGAGAUGAAGGCAUCGAUUCAGAUGGAAACUGAGUUUCCACGUGAGAAGUUCCUAUAAAUAUUGGACAGACCUUCAUUCAACAAAUAUUGACUGAAUGCCUGCUAUGAGCUGGCAAAGUUCUAAGCACUGGAGAUAUGUAAAUGAACAAGAUAAAUGAAAAUCCCCAUGCCGAAGAGCAAGCAGAGGUCUGAGCACUUCACACAUGACAGCUUUGGGGUCCCUGGUUGGCUUGGUUGGUGGAGCGUGAGACUCUUAAUCUCAAGGUCAUGAGUUCAAGCCCACGUUGGGUAUGGAGCCAACAACAACAACAAAAUUAAUCUUCAUGAUGUCUCUAUGAGGUAAGCACUGUUAUCAUCAUCCCCAUUUUACAGAUAAAACAGAAGUACAGAAACAUGAAGCGAUACUUAUCAGUUAGAGAGAUGAGAUGUGUAGCAGAUUGUGAAAUAAUUUGACAACUGAGAAUAAUCUUCAUUUCAUUUUGUAGGUGACACCUAAUAAUUAUAAUACACUGUUGGCUGAUACUGACUCAUGUCACUCACAGAAGAGGGUUUUUUGGGGGGGCAUCUGGGUGGUUCAGUGGGUUAAGCCUCUGCCUCUGGCUCAGGUCAUGAUCUCAGGGUUCUGGGAUCAAGUACCACUUGAGCCUUCUGCUCAGCGGGGAGGGAGCCUGCUUCCCCUUCUCUCUCUGCCUGACUCUCUGCCUACUUGUGAUCUCUCUCUCUCUCUGUCAAAUAAAUAAAAUAAAAUCUAAAAAGAAGAAGAGGAAGAUGAAGAAGAGGAGAAAGAAGGAAGAAGAAGGAAGAAGAAGGAAGAAGAAGAAGAAGAAAAAGAAGAAGGUCUUUUAUUUAAGAACUUCCUGGUCCUGAGGUGCCUGGGUGGCUGAGUGGGUUAACCCUCUGCCUUUGGCUCAGGUCAUGAUCCCAGGGUCCUGGAAUUGAGCCCUGCAUCAGGCUCUCUGCUUAGCAGGGAGCCUGCUUCCUCCUCUGUCUCUGCCUGCCUCUCUGCCUAUUUGUGAUCUCUCUCUC
Molecule: long non-coding RNA, 2830 nt
Organism: Mustela lutreola (European mink)
Lineage: Eukaryota; Metazoa; Chordata; Mammalia; Carnivora; Mustelidae
Exons: 4
Source: RefSeq, a predicted model, not a curated record